AGAGUUUGAUCAUGGCUCAGGAUGAACGCUAGCGGCAGGCCUAACACAUGCAAGUCGAGGGGUAGCAGGGUAGCAAUAUCGCUGACGACCGGCGCACGGGUGAGUAAUGCGUAUGCAACCUUCCUUUAACUGGGGCAUAGCCCGGAGAAAUCCGGAUCAAUACCCCAUAGCAUCAUGAAAAGGCAUCUUUUUAUGAUUAAAGCUCCGGCGGUUAAAGAUGGGCAUAUGUGCCAUUAGCUUGUUGGUGAGGUAACGGCUCACCAAGGCUGCGAUGGCCAGGGGGUCUGAGAGGAUGAUCCCCCACACUGGUACUGAGACACGGACCAGACUCCUACGGGAGGCAGCAGUGAGGAAUAUUGGGCAAUGGGCGCAAGCCUGACCCAGCCAUGCCGCGUGAAGGAUGAAUGCCCUAUGGGUUGUAAACUUCUUUUGUACGGGACAAAACUCCUGGUCGUGACCGGGAUUGAUGGUACCGUACGAAUAAGCAUCGGCUAACUCCGUGCCAGCAGCCGCGGUAAUACGGAGGAUGCAAGCGUUAUCCGGAUUCAUUGGGUUUAAAGGGUGCGUAGGCGGAAUAGCAAGUCAGCGGUGAAAGCCUGUGGCUUAACCAUAGAAAUGCCGUUGAUACUGUUAUUCUUGAGUGUAGUUGAAGUGGGCGGAAUGUGUAAUGUAGCGGUGAAAUGCUUAGAUAUUACACAGAACACCAAUUGCGAAGGCAGCUCGCUAAGCUAGUACUGACGCUGAGGCACGAAAGCGUGGGGAGCAAACAGGAUUAGAUACCCUGGUAGUCCACGCCGUAAACGAUGAUCACUCGUUGUUGGCGAUACACCGUCAGCGACUGAGCGAAAGCAAUAAGUGAUCCACCUGGGGAGUACGGUCGCAGACUGAAACUCAAAGGAAUUGACGG
This 907-nucleotide ribosomal RNA is filed under the name uncultured bacterium. RNAcentral describes it as "bacterial SSU rRNA". It matches the Rfam family "Bacterial small subunit ribosomal RNA", at positions 8 to 916 of the family's 1533-position model. The record is from RNAcentral.